This 253-nucleotide ribosomal RNA is filed under the name uncultured bacterium. RNAcentral's name for it is "partial 16S ribosomal RNA". It matches the Rfam family "Bacterial small subunit ribosomal RNA", at positions 524 to 776 of the family's 1533-position model. The record is from RNAcentral.
UACGUAGGGUGCAAGCGUUGUCCGGAAUUAUUGGGCGUAAAGAGCUCGUAGGCGGUUUGUCGCGUCUGCUGUGAAAACUCGGGGCUUAACUCCGGGCCUGCAGUGGGUACGGGCAGACUAGAGUGCGGUAGGGGAGACUGGAAUUCCUGGUGUAGCGGUGGAAUGCGCAGAUAUCAGGAAGAACACCGGUGGCGAAGGCGGCUCUCUGGGCCUUACCUGACGCUGAGGAGCGAAAGCGUGGGUAGCGAACAGG